ACUAAAACCUUAUCAUAUAAACAAUUUCAGACAGCAAAACCGUGAAAGAAUUAAGCUACCUAAGGCGACUAACUCGUUUAUGGAAAACAAGAGUUUGGUGUACACUGUUCGUGAAUUGCUGAUGCCAAUGUUCUGAAAGUGAAGACGUACGAAAUACAAUUUAAGAAGUUCCAAUAAUUUAACAUAGCCCAUUUGCUGUAUAAUUUUAUGGUAAGAGUAGGUUUUUAUUUCUGUAAUAAACUAUUAAUUUGGUUUGGCAACCAAACAUUGGCAAAAAUUAAGGGGCCAUAUGAUUAAUCUUUAAAAUGAGUCUGGUUAAUUAUCUUUAUCAGAUAAUUCAAAUAAAAACCAAUUUUUUACUUUUGCAAAAAACUAUCGAAUGACGCUCAAAUUAAAUCAACAAAACUAAUGAAAUCGUUUUAAGACCAUAACGGUCUCUUUUUAAGUAAAUAUUAUAUCUUAGCAAAAAAGAUGUUGAUUUAAGGAUGGCUAGAAACAUCAAACGUUAAAAAAAUUAACCAAUUUCAUCUGCAGCUAUCGAUAACCUUAGGCCAAAGAUAGAUUUCACUACCACAGACUGUUUCAGUCGAGUUAUCAAUUAAAAAUUAUUAAUUACAGUGAAUUACGUAGUAAUACAUCUGUAAUGGCUAACAUAUAUACCAAUUGAGCUAUAGCUUGUAUCUGGUAUACGGAGUUCAUAGAUAUUAUUCAAUGUAUAAUUAUUAUUGAUAUAAUAAAUACAUAGUAGACUUAUAUAGUUAAAAAUACAACUUAAUAUAGGUGUUUUUUUUUUCGUAACAUAAUUUUAAUUUGAAAUUAUUAAUGUUAGAUAAGGAAAGAUAUUAUUUUUAAACAUAUUGACUAUUUAUAAUUUUAUUAAUACACACAUCCUCAUCAAGUUCAUUAACUAUUUUAUUAAUUGCUUUAUUUAUUUGAUUUUAGAUUCUGAAUGGAAUGAAAAAUGUAUAGGUUUUACAAUGAUGUUUAUUAUUUUUUUGUAUGAACAUUUUUUUACCGGAAAACAUACUUCGAUUAUCAAGUAUAGCUCUCUUUCUGAAAGGAAAUGUUCUCUGGGUUGUACUUUAGAAAAGUCAUUCUUUUGAAAUUCUGAUUUAUAUUUGAACUAAUGAAGAAACUUCCAUCUUUUGAUUAGAAACAGACUGAAAUAUUAAAAUGACUUUAAAAUAAAGCUUAAACAAUUCCAUAAUGAUUAAAAAAAACAGAAAUCAAAUUCACUUAAAAUCCUCUGAGAUAAUUGCUGGUUCAUGAUAAAAAAUAACUAUAUAGAUAUGUUUAUGACACGUUCAUUUUCUUUAGAGGUUCAAAUAGACAAGCAGAAAAUUUAGUAUAGUAUUUAAGUAAAAUAAAUUAAAUUUCUUAUAUCUUACAGUUUCCAUAAUAAACAAUAGAUUUAAUUUUAGUAUUUACAGAAAACCUACACAAACUGAUGCUAUAAUACCACACGAUUCUAAUCACCCUUAUUCUCAAAAAAUAUCAUUUUUUAAUUUGAUAGUCUAUAGGCUUGAACAUAAACCAUUAAAUAAGCAUAAUUAUCAACACGAGCUCAAUAUUAUUUAUAAUAUAGCCUAUAGAAACAAUUUCAAUUUAAAUACUAUUAAAAAAAAAAGAUAAAUGUAUUAAAGAAAAAAUAAUAUACAACUCACCAAAUAAUUUUGUUAACUAUUGUAGCAUGAAAUAUUGAAAUAAUAUGUAUAAAAAAUUUCUUAAAAUUCUGAACAAUAAUACAAAUAUUGUAAAAAUCGUUUUUAAGACUAAUAAUAAUUUAAUCAAACAUAUAAAGGAUAAAACUAAAAACUUCACAAAAAAUCCCCUUUCUUUUGAAAAUCUUGAUGUAUAUAAACUUGAAUGUAACUGUUAUACAUUUUUAUAUAGGUAAGACAAAUAGACAUUUUAAAAAAAGAUAAAAAGAACACAUUUUUAUAAUAAAAUUUAAAAGACUGCCCCUAAUUCAAAUUUCCGUAAACAUGUUUUAGAAAAUAACCAUAAUACAAGUUUUGAUAUUACUACAGACUUAGAAAUAUCAAAUACCCAAAAUAACCUUUACAUUAUAAUAAUAUUUUAAAUGUUCAAACCGAUUUUAAAAAGAAUAUCUUAUACCAAUUCAUUCUGGAUAAUAAAUAAUAACCAAAUAAUUUAUAUUUCUUAGCAUACCUAUGUUUAAUAAUAACUAAUUUUUAAUAUUCUCUCCUAUUAUAAUAAAUUAUUUCUAUAUUCUAUGUAAAACGAUUAAUUUAUAUAAUUUUUUUUUCUAUGUAUUCCUUCAUUAAAUAUUUUAUAUUCAAUCACGUUUUAGAUUUUUACUGUGAUAUACUUGAUGAUCAUUAAUUUUUAAUUAGAAACCGGUCGUAUAAUAUAUUUAUCACAAUAUUCCAGGCGACGCAUUCAUUCAUUUAUUCAUUUUGUUUUUAUGUGUAUACAUUUUUUUAUUUAUAUAUUUAUUUACUAUAUUAUUUUAAAUAGUUGAUUAAUAAUUUUCUACCAAUCGAAUCGAAAGCUUCUUCUAAACAGAAAAAAAAAUAAGUGAAAUGUAACUCUACAAAAAAAAAAAAAAAAUAAUAAGCUAGCUCCUAUGUGUUUAAAAACCUUAAUAUAUGCACUAAAAAAUGGUACCACACAUUUUUUUUUUUUUACCAGUUUAAUUAAAUAUUAUUAGUUAUUUAAGAAUUUAAAAUAAGAAAAACAUCUAUCUACCUAAUUUAAUUACAUGCCAUAUGAUGACUAAUUAAAUCAGAAACUAGUGUGACAAAAAAAAUAGUAAUCUUAUGUUUAAUAGAUGUUUGUUUCUUAAAUGUUUAAAACAAAAAAAAUGUCCUAAAAAAGUUAAGAUAUUCUGAGAUAUUAAGAUGUGUACUAUGUAUAUUAAUCACUCUGUUUAUGUUAAUUAAUAUACAGGUACAAUAUUUGUAUAAAUAUAAUUUUUAUUAUAUUUUUUUUUUAAUUUUAGACUAUUGUGGGAAGUACGCACAACAUUGUUAACUUUAAACAACCUUUCUAAUCGAAAAGGAUCAUUGUUAUACACACAAUUGUGAGAUUCAAAAAUACCAAAAGCCUUAUACUAGCUACACUUAAGUGGCUGAAUUUUGGAAAUGCCGCAUCAAGAUGCACACGUCGUAUUCAUCAGGUUUGUAUG
Molecule: long non-coding RNA, 3151 nt
Filed under: Cinara cedri
Lineage: Eukaryota; Metazoa; Arthropoda; Insecta; Hemiptera; Aphididae
Source: RNAcentral